This 543-nucleotide transfer RNA is filed under the name uncultured cyanobacterium. Its description in RNAcentral is "partial miscellaneous RNA". The stretch from base 212 to 284 matches the Rfam family "tRNA". Lineage: Bacteria; Bacillati; Cyanobacteriota. The record is from RNAcentral.
CAGGGAGACAACAAAAUGUUUAAUAUUAUUAUUUUGUCACCUUAGGUCGAUCGGUAUCUCACGUUUUUAAUUUAUUAAGAAUUUCACUUCCUAAGUUUUUCUAGGUCACACCCACUAUUUUUCCUGGGCCAUUAGCUCAGGUGGUUAGAGCGCACCCCUGAUAAGGGUGAGGUCCCUGGUUCAAGUCCAGGAUGGCCCAUAUCUCUAUGUUGGGGGUAUAGCUCAGUUGGUAGAGCGCCUGCUUUGCAAGCAGGAUGUCAGCGGCUCGAGUCCGCUUACCUCCACUGAUUACCACCUCUUCCAUAAUCGGUAGAAAGGAAAUGUUUUGAGUAGUGAUCAAAUUCUGAAAGAAUCUAGCUUCCUAAUGAAACCAUUAAGAUGCUGGACUCAUUGAAUUAAUUUCAUUGUUUUCAGAGAACCUUGACAACUGCAUAGAUUAUUUUUUUAAAGACAAUAAGCAUUUUUAAUGAUGCAGAUUGAUUAUUUGUGCGAAUGCAUCAAUAACAAUUCUAUUAAGCUGAUGCUUCAAUUUUUGAAGUUAUU